RNAcentral lists this unclassified non-coding RNA (185 nucleotides) under Glomeraceae sp. Its description in RNAcentral is "partial contains 5.8S ribosomal RNA and internal transcribed spacer 2". The stretch from base 1 to 65 matches the Rfam family "5.8S ribosomal RNA", at positions 84 to 154 of the family's 154-position model. The record is from RNAcentral. Lineage: Eukaryota; Fungi; Glomeromycota; Glomeromycetes; Glomerales; Glomeraceae.
GUGAAUCAUCGAAUUUUUGAACGCAAAUUGCACUCUCUUCGCAGAGUAUGCGUGUUUGAGGGUCAGGCUAAAAAAAAUCGACAUCGUUGGUGUUUCGCGGUGGCGUUCGUCGGGAAUUGGGUUAUCUUAAAUCUUUGGUUUAUGCGGCUUAAAAGUAUCUUUACGAUUCCAUGACGGGUUCCUAG